RNAcentral lists this ribosomal RNA (253 nucleotides) under uncultured bacterium. RNAcentral describes it as "partial 16S ribosomal RNA". It matches the Rfam family "Bacterial small subunit ribosomal RNA", at positions 524 to 776 of the family's 1533-position model. The record is from RNAcentral.
UACGUAGGGGGCAAGCGUUGUCCGGAAUCAUUGGGCGUAAAGCGCGCGUAGGCGGCUAGAUCAGUCUGCUGUAAAAGUCAAAGGCUCAACCUUUGAAAGCCGGUGGAUACUGUCUAGCUAGAGUCCGGAAGAGGCGAGUGGAAUUCCUGGUGUAGCGGUGGAAUGCGCAGAUAUCAGGAGGAACACCAACGGCGAAGGCAGCUCGCUGGGACGGUACUGACGCUGAGACGCGAAAGCGUGGGGAGCAAACAGG